Syzygium oleosum is the source of this 1446-nucleotide long non-coding RNA. RefSeq lists it as uncharacterized. The transcript is spliced from 2 exons. NCBI's taxonomy places the organism in Eukaryota, Viridiplantae, Streptophyta, Magnoliopsida, Myrtales, Myrtaceae. The record is from RefSeq and is a predicted model, not a curated record.
CUGCACUGUAGAUCGGGUUUGCGAUGAUUGCUUAUUGAAGUUACAGGGGGAAAAAGGAGGAGAAAGCCUAAGAGGGGAGGGUUCAAGUAAAGUUUGUUUCUCUUCUGAUGGACCUCAAUCUGGCCCGCAAGCAGAAUGGCCGAGCUUCCUGCAAUUUGCAACCCGUUUUUUUGUUGCAGCUUUUGCACGUGACAAGUUUCUUUUGCAACAUAUUUACCAGAAGAAAAAAAAAAAUCCACCGCGUGGGGAUUCAUGCAUAAUCCUUCUUCGGAGAACCAGAAUAAACUGCAGGCAUUACGUGAUAAUAUGCAUUAAAAUGAGUCGACCGCCCCAAUGAGGGAAUAGAUUAGAUGAUAUCCUCCCUGUACUUGAAUACCAAAGGAGGUGUAUCCUUGUUAGAUACAACAAUUAUGCAAUUAAAUUACCUCUUCAGCAUCCAUGCGAAUUGGUUAAAUCUUUUCUAAUUCCGAAAUCAGAACCACAAUGCGUGUCAAGGCUUAGCUAGUCGAUUAGCUUGAAAUAGUCUUUGCUUUUCCCCUUCCUCGAGCGUUUAGCAAGCUCGCUGCUUUUUUUUUUCUUCGCCAGAACAAGCUGACGGCAUGAAAGAGUGCCUUCUAAGUUGAUUUCAGGUGUGAUUCUGCAUGAGGAAAUUUGCAGCCAGCUGGUAAAAGAAGGAUCUUCACUCGGAGCAAAUUGAACAAGCUGACGGCAUUAAAGACUGCCAUAUGUUUUGGAAAAGACUAUCUGGAUGCUUGACUGAAUCGCUUCAAGGUUGUUUGGCUGUUUGUUGACGCUCCUAUAUUGGCUGUUCUUAGUUGCUGCAUUCAGUGAAAAUAAAGCCGACUGAGUCUAAUUCUACAACUGAGCAUCCUACUUGGGGAUUGCAAGAAGCGACUGUUGACCAGUUUCUGCUACUUCAGGUCUGGCAGGUACGAGUGGUGAAGAGAUGAUGCGCUGUAGAGAUGAGCCAGAGUAAUCUUCGGCUCUUAGUUGUUGCGGUGACAACAUCCUGAGUCAUUUCCACCACUCAAUCUGUUGGAUUUUUGUUUCUUCAGCAAUAGGGAUGAGGAAAUUUCACGGUAAAAACCGAGAAACCACGAUGCGCUCCCUCCUUGAAUUUGGAUGCAAGCCAACCAGCUUCGUUUUCAUCGAUCAAGUCAUUCGAAGCAUGCUUUUCCCGCAUUGCGAGUGAGCGUACCAGGAGAACCAGUAGUUAUGAUGCAAUUUUACCCAAUGCUAAUUGCUCAAUGUUGCUAAAAACGAAACGAGCAGAUGUUAUUACAAACGAGCAGACAAACAAGGGGAUAUGAGUUUGUUUCUUAUGUCCGAGGCGCACAACCCAGAAGUUUUUCCUGUGGCGGUAUGUGAAGCUUCACCCUGCCUAAAUGGGACAAGAAAGAGUUGACUUUACAUCUUGUGCUGUACCUAUAUAAUCAUGCCUUUAAA